AGGCCUCAAAUAAUGUGUGACUACCCCCUAAUUUAAGCAUAAU
This 43-nucleotide ribosomal RNA is filed under the name Culex bitaeniorhynchus. RNAcentral describes it as "partial 28S ribosomal RNA". Lineage: Eukaryota; Metazoa; Arthropoda; Insecta; Diptera; Culicidae. The record is from RNAcentral.